UAGUGGGGUAGAGGCUAUAGAACUUCGUCCUGUAUGUGGGCGACCUGGGGCGAAGGAAGCCAAUGAUGCGACCGUCUACCGUUUAA
RNAcentral lists this non-coding RNA (86 nucleotides) under unclassified sequences. RNAcentral's name for it is "c-di-GMP sequence". It matches the Rfam family "c-di-GMP-II-GAG riboswitch aptamer". The record is from Rfam by way of RNAcentral.